This is a long non-coding RNA of Equus caballus (horse), 2754 nucleotides long. The record is from Ensembl. Lineage: Eukaryota; Metazoa; Chordata; Mammalia; Perissodactyla; Equidae.
UUAAAAGAAAAAAAAAGAAAUUUGACAGGGAGGGGAAGAAGGAGAAUAAGAGGGUUUCCCCACGUAUAAAGCCCCUGCAGGCCUGAAGGAAAUAUACAGCUGCUUCCGCGUUCUGAUUCGAGCUGUUAGCAGGGAUUCCAGAAAUUCAGUUGCUAACAGCAGCAAUGGAAGUCUUGUCUGUUCAGCCUCCCACAUCUGCUCCUGGGCUCCAGAAGACAGAGAGGAGCCCGGCCUGGGGCCCUCCUGACAGAUGGCAGCUCUGCUCCCUGUGGGUGACUUCGCUGGAGUAAUUACGACUGAUGAGGGGGCAGGGAAGCCCCCUUGCUGAAGAUCAUUAGCCAGGAUGAAUAAACUGAGCCCUGCUUGAGGGCUGGGAGAACAUGAAAUAUGAACACUAGUGGCUGCUGCUCAUGGAGCACCUACACUACAAUGGCCCCGAGCAUCCAAAGACAAAUAAGACCAUCCCUCACUGAGGAGCUCACAGUCUAGAGGAAAAACAAAAAGAGACGUCAAUAGUAAUUAUUCCACCAAAUGGGAAAUUCCUUCACAGAAGUGGGUAGUCACCUGGAUGAAUUUUUUUAGUUUACUUCUUUUCCCAUGUUCUUGGGAUCCUAAAGGGCCAUAAAGGCCAUGGAUAAAUAAUAAAAUAUUUUAAGGUAAAGGAAGAAAGACGUAAUAAGCUCAAGAAAGAAAACGGAGAAAAGGGAAUUAUAUAUCUACGUGUUAGAAUAAGAAUCCCAAAACUAAGCUAAGAGGAUACAAUGGGGCACCUGUCACAGCCACUCAGGUCCUAGGAGGGUUGGCUGCCAAUGACCAGGGCUCCCUUCCACAGCUCAAAAACACUUAUGGCGGCUAAGAGAUCACUCAAAUCAGAUAUCCACCUUCCUUAUUUGACAAGAGAUCUACGACUCACCUCAUGUCUUCCCAACAUUGGUCUCAAAAAGUCAUCAGGCCUCUCCAUUGCAAUAAUCUUUCCCCUUGAAAUGUAAAACUAGAUGUAGAGCAAUUCGAUGCUCAGACCAGCUCCUAGAAGGAUCUGCAGAGAUUGGAGGGUCACCUCCCAGGAUGGCACAGGAGGAUUCCUGCAGAGAAUAAGUCAGAUAAUUAAAUAAUCUAUAUGGUUCAACUUCACCCUGAGGGUCCUAUGUUACGUAAAGUGAUGCCAGAUUUAAAAAAAAAAAAAAAAAAAAAAGAUGAGAAGAAAUCCAAUUAAGGCUUUGAAGUUAUUGGAAGACAACAAAGGACUAACAAUGAAAAGGAUCAAGGUAGGAACUGGAGCCUGCCAGCAUCUCGGAGGAAGGUGAUAUGGCUGGCAGCUGCCUCCUUCCCUGCAUCCUGGGGGCCAUUCCAACUGGGAAGAGGCUCCAGAGUCUCAGCUGCUCAGCAUAAAUAAUGCUGAAGAACUCUGCAUUUAAGUGUAAGUCUUGGCCCUUCUAGGGAAUAUUUAAAUUUUGAAAGAACAUUUUUUACCCUGAUGAGUCUAUAAUUGGUUGAAUUGUGGGAACAAUAUUUUAACUAUGAGAAGGGUGGAUCUUUGUAGUUUCUCCUGCCUCCUCCACACUGCUGCUACAGGCACUUCCCCUCAUCAUAGAAGAGGGCUAUAACACUGGCCCUCACUUCUGUAAGUGUGCUAACCCUGCCCAGAAGUCACGUGUUGCACAUAAGGCAACUCAAAGAAAGAGCCCAGGCCCUUGAGGUAUGACUGCACCAAGUGACUCGUCUCUUCAGACUCAGAAGAGGCUUAACCCCACCUCUAUGGAUGCCAAGAGUUGUCUUGACCCAAGAAACUCUGCUUCCUGAAGCUCCAAGUUCCCACCAGGACCAUGGAAUUUUCUCUCUCCAAUUCAGACGACAACAUCAGAACAAAGUGUAUCUCUUCCCAUUUUCAAGUGAAAUCCUCAGUUCAAGGAAUUGAGGCUUAUCACCUCCCCAAGAUAGACUUGACUGACAUCACUACAUUUCACUCAGUACUCUUGAAAUACCAGUGUCAUGGGCAGCAGGCAGUUCACCGGCUGCCUCACAUCUGCCUGAAUCCAAAGCUGACAAGCUCAAACUGGGCUCUUCCCAGUUACCAGUCACUCUGAAGCUUUUCACUUUCCUUUGGAUGUUUUCUUUCCUCCCACCCUGAACAACACAAUAUGCACCUGCAAGCAACCGCUGCAUCCUGGCCCCUCUCCCAUUUCAGCCAUCCAGCAUGGAGCAGGUGUGAAGGUUGGAUAUGGUAGAGAGGAGACGGGAGGAACAGAGAGGACUUGAAGACGGGGAGGAAAAGAGGGGAGGAAGAGAAAAGAGGAGUACAUAAAGAAAACCAAGAGGAUGCCAACAGAAGACUCUGAAUCCACAGGGCAGUGGCACCUGGCACUAGCUGUGUGUCUCAGAAGCAUGGAUCCUAAGGGAAGUUUCUCUGUUGUAGGCUGAAGCACUCACUUGUCGCUGUAUCAUGAGGGACAAGCUGUUCUCAACUCAUAUUCCAGCCAAGCAGCUCAGAACUAAGGAAUGUGGUAUUUUAUUGUCCUGGAACCUUGGGAAAUCUGUCCUUAAAGAAGCUUCCCAUUUCUUCCUGACCAAACCUUGCUGAGGUUUGGCAUCUGGAAGGAUGGCCAGGAGUGCUCAGCGGCCACUGUAUUCCCCACCCCAGAACCCUGGACAGCUCCCCGAACCUGGACAGCUCCCCACAGCCCAUGCCGCCCCUGCGGCCCAUCCCUUUCAGAGAUUUCCAACAAAGCUACGCAGUUUGCCUCUCUUGGAUUCCAG